Molecule: ribosomal RNA, 465 nt
Filed under: uncultured Klebsiella sp.
Lineage: Bacteria; Pseudomonadati; Pseudomonadota; Gammaproteobacteria; Enterobacterales; Enterobacteriaceae
Description: bacterial SSU rRNA
Rfam family: Bacterial small subunit ribosomal RNA
Source: RNAcentral
CCUACGGGUGGCUGCAGUGGGGAAUAUUGCACAAUGGGCGCAAGCCUGAUGCAGCCAUGCCGCGUGUGUGAAGAAGGCCUUCGGGUUGUAAAGCACUUUCAGCGGGGAGGAAGGCGGUGAGGUUAAUAACCUCAUCGAUUGACGUUACCCGCAGAAGAAGCACCGGCUAACUCCGUGCCAGCAGCCCCGGUAAUACGGAGGGUGCAAGCGUUAAUCGGAAUUACUGGGCGUAAAGCGCACGCAGGCGGUCUGUCAAGUCGGAUGUGAAAUCCCCGGGCUCAACCUGGGAACUGCAUUCGAAACUGGCAGGCUAGAGUCUUGUAGAGGGGGGUAGAAUUCCAGGUGUAGCGGUGAAAUGCGUAGAGAUCUGGAGGAAUACCGGUGGCGAAGGUGGCCCCCUGGACAAAGACUGACGCUCAGGUGCGAAAGCGUGGGGAGCAAACAGGAUUAGAUACCCGGGUAGUC